This 253-nucleotide ribosomal RNA is filed under the name uncultured bacterium. Its description in RNAcentral is "partial 16S ribosomal RNA". It matches the Rfam family "Bacterial small subunit ribosomal RNA", at positions 524 to 776 of the family's 1533-position model. The record is from RNAcentral.
UACAGAGGAUGCAAGCGUUAUCCGGAAUGAUUGGGCGUAAAGGGUUCGUAGGCGGUGCGGUACGUCGGAAGUGAAAUCUCUGGGCUUAACUCAGAGGCUGCUUUCGAAACUGCCGUGCUAGAGUGCGGGAGAGGCGAGUGGAAUUGCAGGUGUAGCGGUGAAAUGCGUAGAUAUCUGCAGGAACACCCGUGGCGAAGGCGGCUCGCUGGACAGCAACUGACGCUGAGGAACGAAAGCGAGGGGAGCAAACAGG